RNAcentral lists this unclassified non-coding RNA (336 nucleotides) under soil metagenome. Its description in RNAcentral is "partial contains 5.8S ribosomal RNA, internal transcribed spacer 2, and large subunit ribosomal RNA". The stretch from base 1 to 120 matches the Rfam family "5.8S ribosomal RNA", at positions 35 to 154 of the family's 154-position model. The record is from RNAcentral.
GAUGAAGAACGUAGCGAAAUGCGAUAAGUAGUGUGAAUUGCAGAAUUCAGUGAAUCAUCGAAUCUUUGAACGCACAUUGCGCCCUUUGGUAUUCCAAAGGGCAUGCUUGUUCGAGCGUCAUUUGUACCCUCAAGCUUUGCUUGGUGUUGGGUGUUUGUCCUUUCCCUGCGUCGGGACUCGCCUUAAAUUCAUUGGCAGCCUAUGUACUGGUUUGAAGCGCAGCACAAUUUGCGAUUCAGGCGGUUACCAUGGGCGUCCAGUAAGCACAGUUAACACUUUUGACCUCGGAUCAAGUAGGGAUACCCGCUGAACUUAAGCAUAUCAAUAAGCGGAGGA